This 72-nucleotide transfer RNA is filed under the name Camelus ferus (Wild Bactrian camel). It matches the Rfam family "tRNA". Rfam says of the family: Transfer RNA (tRNA) molecules are approximately 80 nucleotides in length. Their secondary structure includes four short double-helical elements and three loops (D, anti-codon, and T loops). Further hydrogen bonds mediate the characteristic L-shaped molecular structure. tRNAs have two regions of fundamental functional importance: the anti-codon, which is responsible for specific mRNA codon recognition, and the 3' end, to which the tRNAs corresponding amino acid is attached (by aminoacyl-tRNA synthetases). tRNAs cope with the degeneracy of the genetic code in two manners: having more than one tRNA (with a specific anti-codon) for a particular amino acid; and 'wobble' base-pairing, i.e. permitting non-standard base-pairing at the 3rd anti-codon position. Lineage: Eukaryota; Metazoa; Chordata; Mammalia; Artiodactyla; Camelidae. The record is from Rfam by way of RNAcentral.
GAGGGUGUAGCUCCGUGGCAGAGCACAUGCCUAGCAAGCACAAGGUCCUGGGUUCAGUCCCCAGUAUCUUCA